RNAcentral lists this transfer RNA (63 nucleotides) under Lema decempunctata. RNAcentral's name for it is "tRNA-Ile". Lineage: Eukaryota; Metazoa; Arthropoda; Insecta; Coleoptera; Chrysomelidae. The record is from RNAcentral.
AUGAAGUGCCUGAAAAAGGAGAAUUUUGAUAGAAUUCCUCAUGUGGCCCCCCCCACCUUCAUA